AGAAGUUAAGAAACUGUUUCUUAACUUUUAACUAAAAAAACUAAGAAUCGGUUCUUAAAGUCCUUAUUUAAGAACCGAUUCUUAGCUUUUUAGUUAAAAAUUAAGAAACAAUUUCUUAACUUCC
This 124-nucleotide microRNA precursor is filed under the name Brassica napus (rape). RNAcentral describes it as "MIR9563 microRNA precursor family". It matches the Rfam family "MIR9563 microRNA precursor family". The record is from Rfam by way of RNAcentral. Lineage: Eukaryota; Viridiplantae; Streptophyta; Magnoliopsida; Brassicales; Brassicaceae.